RNAcentral lists this ribosomal RNA (1172 nucleotides) under Salmonella enterica subsp. enterica serovar Kingston. Its description in RNAcentral is "partial 23S ribosomal RNA". It matches the Rfam family "Bacterial large subunit ribosomal RNA", at positions 140 to 1251 of the family's 2925-position model. Lineage: Bacteria; Pseudomonadati; Pseudomonadota; Gammaproteobacteria; Enterobacterales; Enterobacteriaceae. The record is from RNAcentral.
UCGUCACACUAUCAUUAACUGAAUCCAUAGGUUAAUGAGGCGAACCGGGGGAACUGAAACAUCUAAGUACCCCGAGGAAAAGAAAUCAACCGAGAUUCCCCCAGUAGCGGCGAGCGAACGGGGAGGAGCCCAGAGCCUGAAUCAGCAUGUGUGUUAGUGGAAGCGUCUGGAAAGGCGCGCGAUACAGGGUGACAGCCCCGUACACAAAAGCGCAUGUGCUGUGAGCUCGAUGAGUAGGGCGGGACACGUGGUAUCCUGUCUGAAUAUGGGGGGACCAUCCUCCAAGGCUAAAUACUCCUGACUGACCGAUAGUGAACCAGUACCGUGAGGGAAAGGCGAAAAGAACCCCGGCGAGGGGAGUGAAAAAGAACCUGAAACCGUGUACGUACAAGCAGUGGGAGCCCCACCACUAAGCCAGUGGUGAACUCCACAUACGCAUCCUUUGCUGAGGAUACGGUUAACGGAGCGAAAGCGACGUUCAACCGCAAAAGAAGCAGAGGGGGCUUAGUGGUGGGGUGACUGCGUACCUUUUGUAUAAUGGGUCAGCGACUUAUAUUCUGUAGCAAGGUUAACCGAAUAGGGGAGCCGGAGGGAAACCGAGUCUUAAUUGGGCGUUAAGUUGCAGGGUAUAGACCCGAAACCCGGUGAUCUAGCCAUGGGCAGGUUGAAGGUUGGGUAACACUAACUGGAGGACCGAACCGACUAAUGUUGAAAAAUUAGCGGAUGACCUGUGGCUGGGGGUGAAAGGCCAAUCAAACCGGGAGAUAGCUGGUUCUCCCCGAAAGCUAUUUAGGUAGCGCCUCGUGAACUCAUCUCCGGGGGUAGAGCACUGUUUCGGCUAGGGGGCCAUCCCGGCUUACCAACCCGAUGCAAACUGCGAAUACCGGAGAAUGUUAUCACGGGAGACACACGGCGGGUGCUAACGUCCGUCGUGAAGAGGGAAACAACCCAGACCGCCAGCUAAGGUCCCAAAGUCAUGGUUAAGUGGGAAACGAUGUGGGAAGGCCCAGACAGCCAGGAUGUUGGCUUAGAAGCAGCCAUCAUUUAAAGAAAGCGUAAUAGCUCACUGGUCGAGUCGGCCUGCGCGGAAGAUGUAACGGGGCUAAACCAUGCACCGAAGCUGCGGCAGCGACACUGUGUGUUGUUGGGUAGGGGAGCGUUCUGUAAGCCUG